RNAcentral lists this long non-coding RNA (704 nucleotides) under Phoenix dactylifera (date palm). Its description in RNAcentral is "long non-coding RNA (PDAC_LNC019015)". The record is from RNAcentral. Lineage: Eukaryota; Viridiplantae; Streptophyta; Magnoliopsida; Arecales; Arecaceae.
CAGUUUUUCUGUUUGUUUCUUAUUCUUUCCAUAUUGUCUUUGCUUGAUUCAAUCGGGGGAUUGAAUCAAGGGUGUAGAGGUUAGUUGGUGAGCCGAGUGUAAAACCAACAUGUAAGGGUUCGAUUGUGAUCCCGAGAAAACAAUCGGGGUUGGUUCUAGUCGGUGAGCCUGGAAAAACCGACCGAGUUCGUUGUGAGCUCGUAAAACAACAAGUUUGGUUGUAAGCUUGGAAAACAACCGGCUGUAAUCCAAGGGGUUAUAGUGAAUUCCCAAGUGAGACUUGGGGAGUGGACGUAGGAGCAAGGAUUAGCUCCGAACCACUAUAAAAUCCUUGUGUUUGUGAUUGUUUGUCUCUUUCUUUUACUCUCAUUUCAUUCACAACACACAGCAAUCAAUUAGUCAUCUUGGUAAAGCAUUAAUUAGUCAUCCACAACGUUUUAAUUGCAAAAUUAUUUUAAAACCCAAUUCACCCCCCCUCUUGGGUUGUCUAUCUGGGCAACAAGUGGUAUCAGAGCCUAAACUCUUCUACCCUAAGAGUAAAAGAUCGAAAUGACAACCCCAUUUGGAUCUUCCCACAUUGAGGGUCAGUCCACCCAAAGACCCCCAUUCUUUAAUGGAUCCGAUUACUCAUAUUGGAAGGCUAGGAUGAGAAUAUUCAUCCAAGCCCAAGACUAUGAGAUGUGGACCAUUGUAUCAAAUGGACC